RNAcentral lists this long non-coding RNA (554 nucleotides) under Manihot esculenta (cassava). Its description in RNAcentral is "long non-coding RNA (MESC_LNC002846)". The record is from RNAcentral. Lineage: Eukaryota; Viridiplantae; Streptophyta; Magnoliopsida; Malpighiales; Euphorbiaceae.
UGCUACCUCUGGUGAGGGUCUUUAUGAGGGCUUGGACUGGCUCUCCAAUAAUAUUGCUAACAAGGUAAAGAUGAAUGACUUUCUGCUCAACAAAAAUUAUGUGCAUUGAGUAUGUAAUAAUAAGCUACCAAUCUAUUGGAACUGCCAAUUUUCAUGUCUGCAAGUCAAGAAUUUUGUGUAAUGAUCAUGCUGUAUGGUGUCAAUGGUUAGGCAACUGCAAUGAAUUUCUAGUUUUAUAAUAUAUGCAUUUUCCAAUUCUCCAUGCAAUUGUCAUUGCUCCAUUUCUGUUUAAAAUUCUCUGGUGAUUGAGAAAAUGGUAAAGAUAAUGAAUUGCUCUAUUUAGUAAGUUUGAGUUUUUAAUGGAAUAUUGUCCUUUUUUCCCAACGUCGUAAUUGGACUUGUACCAUCAUUUCUUGCAGGCGUGAAACAAACGAUGAGACUUUUUGUGGAUUGAGAAUUCUGGAUGCAGGGUGAAUAUUAUCUAGUGAUUUUGAUUUUCUUUUUGAGAGAACUGGAUUGUGUUUACAUUCCUUUCCUUUUUGGGAUGAUCCUUA